Molecule: ribosomal RNA, 403 nt
Filed under: uncultured bacterium
Lineage: Bacteria
Description: bacterial SSU rRNA
Rfam family: Bacterial small subunit ribosomal RNA
Source: RNAcentral
UAGGGAAUAUUGCAAAAUGGGCGAAAGCCCGAUGCAGCAACGCCGCGUGGGCGAUGAAGGCCUUCGGGUCGUAAAACCCUUUUGCCACUGACGAGGAAGGACGGUAGGUGGCGAAUAAGCCUCGGCUAACUACGUGCCAGCAGCCGCGGUAAAACGUAGGAGGCAAGCGUUAUCCGGAGUUACUGGGCGUAAAGCGCGCGCAGGCGGUUCGUUAAGUGGGGCGUGAAAGCCCCGCGCUAAACGCGGGGAGGACGAACCAUACUGAUGGACUGGAGUGGAGCAGAGGGACAUGGAAUUCCGGGUGUAGCGGUGAAAUGUGCAGAUAUCCGGAGGAACACCAGAGGUGAAAACGGUGUCCUGGGCUCACACUGACGCUGAGGCGCGAAAGCGUGGGGAGCGAACG